GGGGGGGGGGGGGGGGGCGGUUGCCUGGCGAGCCGUUGGGUAACUUGGCAGCGCUAGGGAGCCAAGACUUGGGAAGUGGAUGUCCUUCGGGAGGGAUAUCUACUUCCCAUCGAGUCGAGGCCACCCUCACUUCACACCCGGUCCAUCUUUGAACAUACAUUCCUGAUUCUGCCAGGGAUGUAGCACUAAGUCAAGAAGUGCAGACCAUGCUGAGCAAAGGAGCAGUGGAAAUCAUACGAGAUCAGUCACCGGGGUUCUACAGCCGGCUUUUCCUGGUGGAGAAGUUUACAGGGGGCUGGAGACCGGUGAUAGAUCUCUCUCCUUUAAACCGAUUCAUUCACCAGACUCGGUUCACGAUGGAAACGGCAGGCUCAGUGCUCGAUUCUAUCAGGGAGAACGAUUUUCUGCUUUUGGUGGACCUGAAGGAUGCGUAUUUCCAAAUACUAUCCAUCAGUCCUCCAGGAAGUAUCUUCGCUUUAUCCUUGACGGGACGAUGUACCAAUUCAGGGCACUUUGUUUUGGUCUCUCAACUGCCCCACAGGUGUUCACACAAGUGUUCACUCUGGUGUCGGCUUGGGCCCAUUCGGUCAGGAUACAUCUGAUGAGGUAUCUCAAUGAUUGGCUGGUUCUGGCGAGCACUCACACAGCCUCACAGUUGCUACAGAACAGAGAUCGACUCCUCGACUUAUGCAGCAAUCUAGGUAUUGUGGUAAAUGUCAAGAAGUCAGAUCUCGAACCCAAGGAGAGGAUAAAGUACCUGAGCAUGCUGAUCGUUAAGUUAGCAGCACGAGUCUUCCCCGCAGACUCUCAGAUCAGCAGAUUCAGGGAGGCAGCCAGAUGGUUUCUGUCAUGACAGGAACAGCCGGCUCAGCAGUAGCAGGCCGUGAUCGGUCACUUGUCGUCACUAGAGAAGUUAGUCCCUCAUGGGUGUCUUCACCUACGGUCUCUGCAAUGGAGACUAAAGGAGUGCUGGUCACAGGCGCGGGAUCUGCAAUUCUUCCUGGUUCCUCUUAUGGAGGAAGUAAGGGAGGAUUUAGUCUGGUGGCUAGACAACAGGAACCUCUUAGUAGGAGUGCCGCUUCGCACUCUCCCUCAGGAGGUGCUUCUGUUCUCAGACGUAUCGACCGAGGGUUGGGGCUCACACCUGGAAGAGUUGCUGGUUGCAGGAGUGUGGAACCAACACGACAAGCACCUUCACUUCAACAUCCUGGAACUCAAGGCAGCGUUUCUCGCACUCCAAGAAUUCCAGGAACGGCUGAUGGGACAUUCGGAGGUGUUGAUGAGCGACAACACCAUGGUAGUGGCAUACAUCAACAAACGGGGCCUAGUGUCCCUCCUGUUACACUAGUUGAUGAUGCAGGUGCACGAGUGGGCUGUAGCUCACUCGGUAGAGCUGUCAGCCAGAUACAUUCCAGGCAAGGGAAUGUAGUGGCAGACAAGCUCAGCCGCCAGAAUCAGGUGAUUGGGACAGAAUGGUCUCUACACCCAGACGUGGGGGAAAGGCUGUUCGACCUGUGGGGGCAUUCAGUAGUGGAUCUGUUCACCACCCAGCAAAACAGAAAACUUCAGGUUUUCUUCUUAGUUGUGCCGGACCUAUGGGGGGCUGCAGAGGACGGGUUCCAAUAUCCGUGGGAAAACCUCGUAGUGUAUGCCUUUCCCCCGUUCUGUCUGAUUCGCAAGGUAAUCAGGAGGGUGCUGGUCACCAGCAAUCUUUGAAUGAUUCUGGUGGCACCCAAAUGGCCUCAGGCCAUUUGGUAUCCGGACCUGCUGGCUCUUCUCUCAGAGGCACCUCGAGAGAUUCCCCCAUGGCACAACCUGCUGUGUCAACCGCAUGUGGAACGGUACCACCAGGCAGUACGUUCCCUGGCGGUUAUCCACCAUCUCGAGCGAGAGGCUUUUCUCGCUGAGCAGCAACAGAGAUGGCUGGAUACCCCAGACAGUCCUCUGUAGCAGUACCAGGGAAAGUGGUCAGUCUUCUGUGGUUGGUGUCGUAGACGGGGGUCUCUCUCCGCUCAGAGCCACUCUUCAGCAGAUAGCGGAUUUCCUGAUCUUCCUUCGCCGUGAGAAGUUCCUCUCUGUUUCAGCAGUUAAAGGAUACAGAGCUGCCCUGGCCCUAGUCCUAAAACUGCCAGGAGUUGAUAUUUCCUUCUCCAUGGAAAUAUCUCUCCUGAUGAAGAGCUUCGAGAGGUCUUGCCCACCCAGGGAACUCAGGCCCCAAGUGGGACGUGACUCGUCUAAAGGAGUUUGACUCGUAGACCCUAUGAGCCUCUCCGGGAGUCGUCAGACAGGGAUCUGACCCUCAAGACCGUCUUUCUGCUGGCUCUGGCAUUGGCGAAGAGAGUAGGAGAACUUCAUGGUCUUUCCUUCGAUGUCAAACACACGAGGGGAUGGGAUCAGUUACGCUCGAGUUUGUCCCAGAUCUCGUAGCAAAGACUCAGAACCCUACGGUCCCUGGCGCCAGGUUUGAGUCCUUCACGAUCCCCUCCCUAGAGGACUUUACUGGUAAUGAUAUGGAAGAGAUGCUACUUUGUCCUGUUAGAGUGCUAUGGCAUUAUCUGAGGAAAACUUGACACCUCAGGCCUGAGUAUCGACGCCUCUCCCUUAGCACCGGGGUGACCAAGAAAGAAGCGUCCAAGAACACUUUCUUUCUGGCUUCAUGAGGUGAUUAGAAAAGCGUAGGACUCGGAAAGCAGUGCCGACACCAGUACCUUUCGUCUGAGAGCCCAUGAAGUUAAAGGUAUUGGUCCAACCCUUGCAUUCUGCAAGAACUUGUCAGUUGCACAGGUGCUGAAGGCAGGGGUGUGGUCCAACCAGACCACCUUCACCUCCUUCUACCUUUGGAAUAUUGCCCAUAGGUCCUUGGACACUUUUUCCUUUGGACCCGUGGUGGCUGCUCAACAAGUUGUGUAGCUUACCGAGCUACUUUAACAGGACAAGGUUGCAUCUUGUCAUUGUGAUAUUGCAUGAAUGGAGAAUGAGAGUGAGACUGGCUCCUCUUCCUUCUCUUUUCUUCCUUCUUCCUGCGGGCAGAGGGUAGCGGUCACCACAUGCUGGACAGGACGACGGUGCAGGUAAGCUACAUAACUGAGCUCCAUUCUAUCUCUUUAGUUAGGGAUAGAAGCUUUUAUCUGUCCCUUCCCUAACAAGGGGGGCAAGCGGACAGCAGUAAGAGACAAACCCAAUGCUUACUAUUUGGCCUUUUACUUAUGACUUGAAGUUCUUUCUUGCUAUUCAUUAGAGGGAGGCCAGAGGUUUGGCCGCUGAUCCUGCAGUUCUCACUCCGAUCAGUUGGACAGAGGCUAGGUUCCCCCACUUGCUCUUACGACCAGGGAGGGAACCCAGGUUUGGCGAACACCAGUCUGUUUACAAGACUCAGAUUCCUCCCACCAAUAAGUGAGUCUUCCUUAUGUAAAGGACCGAUGGUUUGUAUAACGUGUCGAAACAAAUCACAAUUUUUGAAAGUAAAUUGUAUUUUUCCUAACUAUACAAACCUGAGGUUCUUUACAUAUAGGCCUACCUCCUGCCAUCCCUCACUCUGUUCCUGGGCCUAAACCAAAGUUGAAUGUUUGCAUCCAGUCGGGCGGGACUCCCAACCAUUGGACAAGCAGUUACUGCCUGACUACCUUGUUAUUAAAUCUUACGACCGGUCCAGCUGGCACUGAAAGUAAUUCCUUAUGUAAAGGAUCUCAGGUUUGUAUAGUUGGGAAAAAUACAAUUUACUUUCAAAAAUUGUGAUAUUAUGAUGAAAUGGGGUAAACAGCAAAAAGAAUGCCAAUUUUUUUUUUUUACUAAAAACCAUGCUCCUGGCGUCAUUUAUUGACAAAAAAAUAACAAUCUAGUUCACAAGAAGACGUAUUUAAGUCAUAUUUCGACUAAAACAUUGUAUAACAAAACAUAAUCUUGUCCCAUAUAAAUAGAGUUACUAGAGAUACGCUAAAUAAAAGCAAGAAAAAUGCUCUGAAUUGAGUUGAAUGUAGUGAAAAAACUAACCUCCAUCAACUGAUUUUUUCAAAACAAAAGAUCACAAUGACGCCAUCUAUUUACGAAAAAAAAUAAAAUCUAGUUUUACAAGAUGUAUGUAUGUCAUAUUUUAACUUUAAAACACAUAUAACGAAACAUAACCUUGUCCAACAUAACGAAACAUAACCUUGUCCCAUAUAAAUAGUUUUUAGAGAUUAAUUUACGCUAAAUAGAAGCAAGAAAAUAGUUUUGAAUAGAGUUAAUGCAACGAAAUAAACGUGUGUUUCUCAAUUGAUUUUUCCAAACCAAAACGUGAUCCGUUUGUUUGUAUUUUAUAGUAUAAUAGUAAUAUAAGAAUACAUACAAUAUAUUAUUGGAUACUUCAAAGUAAAGGAUAACUUUUUAAAAGGGCCAAGGAAGAGAUGCAUAUUCGUUGUUUGUUUUUUAUGAGGCAGUCUCGGCAGUUAGGCUAAGCCACGGAUAACCAGACAAUGGUGUUAUAAACCCUACAGAGGGUAAAACCCAGCUAUGAAUAUGCUGAACAAGCACCGUAAAACUGAAAUGCCGGUAACUGAUACCUACAGUAACCGGGGGCUGCCUGUAUCUUAACUAAUUGACAAUCUUGCUCAUUUCACUACUAUGUGUAGUCAGUUUCAUGUCAUUUGUCCACUCAUGGAUGAAGAUGUGGUACAUGCGCAUGGGUCAUGUGAUUGGCUGAUAAUCAAUGUUUGAUAUCGUUGGCUUAUUGUGAUAAAUACAAAGAUUCCUGUGUAAAAUAUGUCAGUGUCACCAAAUUCUGUAUGAUUAAACUUACAUCAGCUUUUCCCUUCACAAGGGGUCUUUUAUAUCUUGCUAAAUCUUUUAGUAAUGAAUAACCUAACAUUUCCAGUACCAAGUCUUUAGACAAAAAAUUUAUAAAUAAUUUUUUUUUAACCCUUAUCACAUGUCCAGUCCUAUGUAUUUACCAGCUACUGAACAUCAGAGCUCUCCUUUUCACUUCUGUAAUCAUAUGUACAAUCUCCUGAUUGUUCUCUGGCAAUGAAUAUAAAAUUCUGAGGUUGCAGAUAUUAAAAAAAUCUUAUUUUAAAGUGUCCAAGUUUUUUCUGUAUAUGUCAUACAUACUUUAUCUAUAACAAUACAUACAUCCUUUUCUUUUUGAUAGUUUAAUGUACACAGUUUUCUCUUUAUAUAGCUGCUGCUCUGUCUUUAUACUGUAUAUACACUGCCCUUUUAAUCCCUUCUUCACUUUUCAUUGUCUCAAAGUUAACAGAAAUGUUUUAUCACUUCUAAGAGAACUCAUUUACCACAAUCUGGUUCUAAAUUUAGCUGUUUGCUUUUCUAAAGGUGUCGCACAGCAGAUCUUUUUUUUAUGUUGUAACACCAUGCCACCAAAGUACCACCAGUAUCACAAAUUACUCUAAAUUAGUGAAAAAAUUAUGGUAAUCAAAUUUUCACUUGCACAGCUUCAAUGUAAUGAACAGAUCGAGCUUUGAUUAUAUGUAUACAAAGGCGAUAUAUAUUAGCCACUUGGUACAAAAGUUCAUGAAAACAUGCUAAAAGAUGCCAAAAAACAUGCUGUUGUGACACGGCCUCAGUAGAUUUCGGUCAUUAAAAAUCUAUUCAUUGUAUAUUUUGUAUUCCUUUGCAUCUCAUUUUAUACUUCUUACUGGUUUGUGAAGUUUGUUCUAUUUUAAUUUUCAGUUCUCUCCUUCCCAUCCGACUCCUCAACUGUUUGCAUGACUUCUUCCCUCAGAUUCUGUUGUAAACAUUAGGUCAUCAGCAUACAGACUUACAGGGUUUCCUUUCCUGCACUUCUUUGUAGCUUCCUCCAUUUCUAUGAUAAAAAGCAGGGUGCUCAUGGCUUGUCCUUGAUUGGCACAAGAUAUACGUAUCACAAAUUCUUCUGAUGUAUGUGCCAUUGUCUUUACAUAUAAUUUUGUAUUAUGGUAGAAUAACAUUAUGCACUAAUUGAGUUUUUCAAUUACCCCCAGCCUUUGUCAUACCCAUCUGUUGUUUUCUUGGUACAGGUAGUUAAUCAUCAUACCCAUCUAAUUGUUUUCUUGGUACAGGUAGUUAAUAACUGAUCUGUCAUGACUCAGAACAGUAAAGUAUGAAUGUUUGCUGGAAUGGUUUGCAGGGGAUUCCCUCAAGAAUCACACGAUCUUGUCAAACCAAUCAAACUAUCUGUGAUAUACCCAGAUGGUUCCUGGUAGGUACACUACUUGUCCUGUCACAAAAAGGUGUUGAGGGACUUGUGGGCAGCUUACCUCUAGUAGAAUGAGAGGAAGGUAGUGUGACAGCAUCAGAUUGCUGUCCUCAUUUCCUGUAGGACAAAGUUCUUCCAGAAGGAGAGAGAAGGUCCAAUGCCCCUAACAUUGAGAUCAGGGGUGGAUCAUAGGGUCUUUUGCACUGUUGGGGAAUGUGUAAACUUUGGCGAUUACUUCCUACAGCCAGAAGGUGAUCAUGUUAUUAGAUACCUCCUCCUAGUGACAUCCUUUGCUCACAAAAAAAGGGUUGCACUCUGGUCUGAGGUUCUUAGCCCUUUUUCAAGUAACAUUUAAGGGCAUGAAUUGGGUACAGCAACAUUUUCCCUGGCUCCUUAGCCAGGUGAUAUUUUUGGAUACUUCCUUCUACUGACAUCCUAUGCUCUCACAAAAUGGGGGUUGCACUCUGGCCUGAGGUUCUUAGCCCUUGUCAAGUAUUUAAGGGGCAUGAACUGGGCACAGCAACAUUUCCUCUGGUUCACUACUAAAAAAAAAUCUUGAAAGAGAAGGGAGAGGGAAUAAAGAAACUCAAACCUUGGGUCUAGAACCGAGAGAUUUUGUCUUAGCCACGAACUCUGGGAGGAAGGGGAAUGAGAAACCUCCACCCUUCCGAGUACCUGAUGAGGUAUGACAAUCCAUUCGACUUUCAAACUCUUGGCUAAGGCAAGGGCUAGAAGGAAGACCAUUUUGAGGGUAAGACCCUUGUCUGAUGACUUGGACAGGGGUUGUCCUGACUUGUGCUAAAUUCAGAUCCCACCUAGGGGCCUGUCUCUUGUAGAGGGCAUGAUUAUUCUAAGCUCCUCAUAACCCUUCUAUGCCACAUAUUGCAGAAAAUAGUUCACUUUCCUUGGCAGAUACUGAGGUGAUGUGGAGGGUACCAGACAUAUUUCUUGCCAUUCUGCAAGAAAAGCUCCUCUCGUGUGGUUGCAACACAAUACAGAUAGUUGUUAACUUACAACCUCUGCAGUUUGUGAUGGAUUGACUUUUAAGACUAUUAUGAGACCAUGGAUAUCUGGCUAUGAUUAUGCCCAGUAGGCAUAAUGCAAAUUCAUACAUUCAACCAGGAUUACCAGAUGUAUGACUUAACAAAUAAUUCAUUGCCAUUUCUUAUAAUUAACAUCCACUCCAACGGUACUUCAUAUUUUGCAACUGCAUUGAGGAUAUGUAACAAUAAAUGAAAUGUAACUGUGCAUUGUAUGUGGUAAAAUGCCUGUGGCUGAAAAAUUAACACGUAAAAAAAUUGACAAGUACAGUUUAAAAAAUAAAACUAAAUUUAUAUUAUGUAAAAACUUUGGAAUCUAAUGAUCAUUCAUAGAAUAAACUAAAGAAACUUGAGAGUAAAUGAGGAAACAAACACCACCAAAAAUAUGCUGCACAUAUCCUAUUGCAAAAGUGUGAAAAUGUUGUGAUGAAAUGUCACACAUAGAAGUAAAUGAAAAAAAACACACAAUAUUAAGGGGGCCGGCCGGCUAAUGCCAUUCUUUAAGGACAGGACUUUGAUAUUCAUGCCACUUAAUGUGACUUGGGACAUCUCCAAACCGCAUAUGAUUUUCGCCUCUGACCUUCGGUUUUGUGAUGCCAGGGCGAUUUAUCCCGAAAAUAACCAUUUUUCAAAUUCUAUCUCCUCCCUUGAUAUUCAGUAUUAAGACCUGGGAUUACUACCAUAUAUAGACCUGAUGUAGACCUCCAAUUGAAUGAGGAGUUAUAGAAAAAAAGUAAUUUUUUUGCUAGAUAUGAAUUUUUCAUUAUAAAUAAACCCUAUAAAUUAGGGGGGGGGGAAAUAAAAAAGACUAAACAAAAAUUGAAAAAAGGGGCUUCAUUUGAUUGUUCUGUAAUGUCUUUCUGAGUUAUAUACCAAAUUCCAAUGUUAUGGCUUUAAAACUAAGUGAGAAGAUAGAUUUAAACUAAGUGAGAAGAUAGAUUUUGAAGGUCAAUAACUAUAGUUUUUAGAUAGGGCGUUCAAAGUUUUUCUUCGUAUGUUAGGGCGUUCAAAGUUUUUCUUCGUAUUUUUAUAAUAACAAUGUUAAUAUAAAUAAUGAAUAUUAUGAAUGUAUAUUUCUUUUUUUGUGUAUUAAUAAACCAAAACUAUUUAUUUAUCAUAAUUUAAUCAUAAAUGAUGAUCCCUUUGCUCAUAUAUUAGCUUGGGGCACUGCGUCAGGCAAGACGGGGCACUCCUUCCUACGCAACUCUCUCUCUCUCCUUUACUAACUCGGCUAAUUACAGCGAUUUUUCUUAUGUAAGCUAGAUGUUUUCCUAGUAUUUUCCGUUUUGGCACGAUGAAAUUCUUGCCGAAACUAAGAUAAACAAACGUAAACGCAAGAGAAUGUCAAGAGGUAAAAUUCGAAGUUGUACUCUCUUUUUACAAAGACAAUGUUAAUAAAUCAUGAUUAUUAUGAAUUUCAUAUUCCUUUUUGGGUAUUAAUAAACCAAAACUAUGUUAUUUAUCAUAAAUUGAGAUCCCUUUGCUCAAAGAUCUUAGCCUGGGGGACAGUGUGGUGUGUGCAUCAGGCAAGACGGGGGCGUUUACUUACUACGCAACCCUCUUUCUCUCUCUCUCCACUAAUUACGCUAAUAUCGCAUAUAUUAUGAUAUUCUGUAAUCAUAUUAGAGGGAAUUUUCUUUGUCUUUAUGUUAGCGAGAUGUUUUCCUUGUCUUUUCCUCAUUGGCAUGAUGAAAUUCUUGCCGAAACAUAGAUAAACACAUGUAAAAGCAAGCGAAUGUCAGAGAAGAAACUCGGACGUGUAGACUACUUGAAGUCUGUGCUCGCACUGAAAUCAUGGUUGAACUUGAUACUCCCCUCUGCGACUCACGGAAUCACUACAGAUGCCAUUUCUCACAAUUUCUUUGACAAUAAUUAUCAAAAUUUACGAUAACAGAAGAAAUAUUGCAUUUUCUUGUACGGAUGAAUGUUUUAGGCUUAUUGAGUUAUAAGGGUUCCGGCCGGCCCUCUUAAAGCUUCCAUACUCCAAAUGUAAACGAGUUCUAUUUUCCGGUAAUUUUUAGACAUACCAAGUUUCCAUGUUUAAGCUUAAUGAGAAAUCAAUGAUCACAAUAGAACAGAUGAUUGAUAAUACCUUUUAUGUUCUUAAAAUUAAAAUUCCAAGAAAGCCCCAAUCUGCAUUAAAUUAUGAUUGAUGCAAUAGUACCUGGUGAAGGGUAAUCCAUGGCAAGUAAACACAACAGUGAAAAAAGGCAAAUUUUCCCAAUUAUUAGUAAUAGAAAGUUGAAGAAUGAAUAGGGGAAAGAAGUAGAUGUUCAUGUCGUGCCCAAGGGUCUAGGGGGAGAGAAGAGGGUGAUUGCAUGGGAGAAUGUAUCUGUCCUUCAAGACUGUUAUUACCCACUGCUCAGUUCCAUUUUGCUGCCACGUCAUCCAGUGACUCGAGAGCAGCCCCCACCUGUGACAGUGGAGAAGGAAGACCAGUCUCAUUAGGUGCCUAUUUUCUUGCUCAAGCCUCCUCAUUUAAGCUGAUCCAGGUAGAAUGGGGCAAAAGAACUGAUGGGUGUCCAAGCCCUUUGCAGAAGUAGAUGGAUUGGAGUCCUGUCUUAACUUCAUCGGUGGAGGUUGUCUUUCUGUGGAUGGCAGGAGAGCUUUGUUCUGAAUCUAGGUUCUCAUAGUCAGUGAUCUACACCUUUGGCUGGACUAGAAAGUGGCUAUUUGAGAUUGAGGGCAUCACAUGGCUCCUCCCUCUUAAUUGCCACCUCUGCUUUCAUUUCCUCUAAGGCAAAGUAGAAUGGUGAGUCCAGGAUCCAUCAGGAGAACCAACUCUCAUGUGAAACCUGUCUUGACAUUAUUAUUAUUCAGAAUGAAACCUAUUCAUAUGGAAAAAGCCCACAUGAGCCAUUGACUUGAAAUUCAAAGUUCCAAAGAAUAUGGUGUUCAUUAGGAAAAAGUAACAAGAGGUAAAGGGAAAUACAUAAAGAAAAGACACAAGGGAGAGGAAUGAAUGCAUCUGUCAGAUAUAAUGUUGGCCCAAAGGUUAGUGAUCUGGUGGGCUAGAAAGGUGAAGGCUUUCCUGCCUGGCACCAUAAGCCUCCUCGCGCUUGACCAAGAUUUUGGGGUCAACUUCAUCAUCAUAUUGGUUGCUGUGGUCUGCUCUAUAUCUAGCGAAAAUGUCACCAGGAGCACCAUCAUCAUCAUAGUUUCUAGUCUACGUUGUAUGUCAGCCUUGCACAGUUCCAGAGGGAGGUGGAGGGUUAAUUCGUCUGCAUACUCUGGAAUAUACUUUUUCUGUUUGAACUGUGAGGGAUCAAGGAACUAAUUGAUCCAUAGGUCAAGUUCAUCUUUGCCAGAAUCCCACAGAAAAGGUUUGACCAAGGUUCUGCUUCCUAGACCAAACCUACUACCCAAUGUGAAAGAAAGAUUGCAGGUAAAGCUGAAGCCAAGGCCUCUUCCCUUAGGUCAUUAAGCUCACAAAUGAGUGAAAUGAUCUCUUGGAACCAUUGCACUGCACCAGGUCUGAGGGUAAGGGGCAGGGCCUUCCAGUCUGUUACUAGGCUGGGUCAUGAUGGAGGGAGAUUUCUCUUGUUGCAGUGGGAACCAUAAUUCUCUGCUCCAACUCCUGUUCAUGUGCCCUAGAUUGAGGGAGUAUAGAUAAUGGAAUCCGUUCUGAUGGGUUUAGUGAAAGAGAGAUUGGUCUCCAUAUACCAUUUGAUAGGAGUAAAGGGGACUGAUUGGAUAAGUGAUAAGUAGAGCAAGCUUUGAUAAAAAUGCUUGGUUUUUCUUUGUUUUAGACUGUCAGCUUGGAGGGCCCGACAAGGAGGAUGAAGGUGGUGAAGGAGGGUCGUUUCAUAGUGGUAACCUUUGUUCUCUCAUAAGAGGUGCUGGGAGUUGGCAUGAGGCUUGGAAACAUGUGGGGAGGGGAGAACCUCCACCACCUCAGCCACUGGGGCACCUUCAGGGAGGCAGACGUGGGGAGGGAGAGACUUAAAAUGUUUGCCUUGUUGCCCACCCAUUGAUAGGGAAGGCAAACCCACAAUGCUUAAGAAAGGCAAUACCUUUUUCAGUUGUUGUACAUACUGUUCUCACUGUGGAGAAGGCUAUACAGUACAUUGAGGACUAAAGGAAUCACAAUGCACUCUUUACCCGUGCAAGAAAUACAGACAAAGUGUGGAUCUAUUGCAAGAGGCGACAUGAAAUGAUUAUAAAAUGACCACGACCUUCCCAAUGACCUUGGUCUUGUCAUCUGUGUCUGUUCUCCAUUGAGACAAAGAACCAAUAAAAAACACAGAAGCACCAGGAAUAAAAAAAAAAAAUUGGUACUUUCAGGCAGUUAAGCAAGCAUUUAGGAUAGAUAAAUCACAAAAGUACUGUUGAUCACACUGCCAGGGAAUUGAUGUAGAGGUGUCUUAAAUCCUAUAUGAAAUGUCUUAUUUGCCUAUGUUAGCCAUUUCAGCUUAUGCACAACCCUGUUGAGUUUUAUUUAGCAUUUAAUUUUUAAAAAAUCCUGUAGUUCUGUUUCUAUGGAUUAUGCACAGGAAGUAUCGUAAAGAUCUAAUGUAAUGGUUGAAUUUAUUUGCUAUUUAUAAAAUUUGAGCCCAGUGAUAUUCAGAUAUUUUACAAUGCAGUGUUUAAAGUCAUAAAAAUUCCAGACCCUUAUUCUUCCAUGUGUUAUUGCUCUUGGGAAUUAUUUCAAGGUAGACUGCUAACAAAUCAUAACUGAGGAAUAAUACAUAAAUUCUGCAUCGAUUGCAAUGUUUUUACUUAACUUUCUUAGUUUUUAAAUUUACAAACUUUUCAUUCCUAAAGGCAAUAGUGUCCUCCUUUCAGUAAAGAAAAUAAAAUAGACAAAAUAGUGUCCUCCUUUCAGUAAAGCAAAAAAAAUAAAAAAAA
This is a long non-coding RNA of Macrobrachium nipponense, 12054 nucleotides long. RefSeq lists it as uncharacterized. Lineage: Eukaryota; Metazoa; Arthropoda; Malacostraca; Decapoda; Palaemonidae. The transcript is spliced from 2 exons. The record is from RefSeq and is a predicted model, not a curated record.